Molecule: long non-coding RNA, 14495 nt
Organism: Zeugodacus cucurbitae (melon fly)
Lineage: Eukaryota; Metazoa; Arthropoda; Insecta; Diptera; Tephritidae
Exons: 2
Source: RefSeq, a predicted model, not a curated record
UGGGAGCUUCAUUCAUCUUAUACAAUAAAAACUAUAAAAAAAACUUUGAAUUAUUUUAGAAUUAUUUAUUCAGGAAAAAUAUCGAAUAAUUAGUUAUCGUGAAGCAAUUUUCAUUUCAAGAUGAUUUUCAUAAAUAUUCUGCUCAAAUUUAUUUAAUUAUACCCUUAGUGUAAUACUAAACUAACUAAGCUCCUUCAGUAAGAAGACCGCUUACUAAACCAGUUUUUCCACAUUCAAUUAUCAGAUUCAAUUGAUGCGAGUAUUUAUAACUAAACAUACUAACUAAUUAUUAUAUAUUACACACACUUGCUUCACACACAUUCACAUUAACAAACGUCAAAAUUGUGCGCGAUUAAAAGCUCAUUAUCAUUCCGAAAACAAAUGCAAAACAAAGUAAUUAUCGUUAGAACAGCGAUUCACUUCAGUUACUUAAAAUGUAAUUGUGACUUGACUUGUUUGUUAAUGCUUACGUAUCUAUAUAAGCUGUAUACAUAGAUUAUAUAUGUAUAUGAUAACUAAAUUGUCGCAGUUGCCUUUUUGUUUGAAUUGAGCUGUCAAAAAUUAGUUAAACCUUCAAUAUGACAGACAACAAGUUAAACAAUUCAGACAGACUUGCUAACAUACAUUCAUAUAUGAGUUGUAUUACAGGAAUAUUCGCUUUGUUUUUAUGCUUUCGUAAUGAGCUUAAACGGAAGUUUUUAUUAAAAAUUUGCAAGUGAGUGAAUACAACAUAUUAUUAAAUAAAUAUAAAUGCAUUUCACUGGCAUGUUGCUUUGAUUUAACGGAUGUAUAAAUACCAGAUCAAAGCGCUUGCACUAACAAAGUAGAAAUUCCAUGUUUAAAAUGAGAAUUUUACGCUGGAUAGUGCUUCCGAAUGACAUUUGUUAUAAGAAGAAAGACAAUUGAUUACAUAAUUAUAUUUAAAGUGACUGACAAGCUGAUUAUGAUUUGAGUGACACCCAUUAUUCAAAUGUUGAUAAUCAUAGAUAAUAAUAGAAAAGUAAAUAGACCGGUGCAUUUCAUAUUGUACCUGUUUGAGCACAAUUUUAAAUAAUAAGGACUUCAGGGCCUUGUAUAUCAGCACAAAAAGUUUUGACAGUUGGAUUUUAUAGCAAUUGGAAAUUUUAAAAUUCCCGUUACUUUUUGAACACACCUCGUAGAAUAUGAAUAAUGUUGAGUUAGAAAGAGGCAACAUUUUCAUCGAGAAAAGAACACGCAUUUAAAUUUUGUCUUUACUUUUGAGAAUUCGUUACGCUGUAACUACUUCCUUCUAUAGAAAUAAUAGGUAUUAAUAUAAGUAAAUAUUCCGUGGAUCUCUGAUUUACUUAAGUAAAAUUUAUCUCGGUAAAAUUUCAAAUACAUUUUAUUUCUCAGAUAGUCUUCUUUAUUUUAAAUUCAAAGAUGAGAGAGAAGAAUUUCCCCUCCCGAAAAGUGCGCUUUGCAAUAAAAUGUCAUUGUCGCACACGUCUGAAUUUAUAAACGAUGGCAACUUGUGUUUUCGAACUAGAACUAGACUAGAAUGCCGAAUGCAACGCAGCAUGACAACAACAACAGCAAAAACAGGAUAUUACUUUGCGAAUACACGAAUAAGACUAGAAAAUGAGAUAAACGAAACAAGAAGAAGAAAGAAACGAACAAGAAUGUAUAUCUGUGUGUGCAACCAAACUAUGUAAAAUGGAAGCAAAAAUGGCAUCAUAAACAAAGCAGAAUGUAUUUCAGUUUGCGGUAAGUAAUGCAAGCCAAGAAAAGCGCAACAAAAGCGCACACUGGAGAGGAGAACGGCUAGUGAGUGCGAGGCAGUUUGCGGAAGUGACAUACAAAGACAAUAAAAGGUUGAAGGACACAUUGUGUCGGGCGCACACACGUGUGUGGCGAGUGCAAGGCAGCAAGGCUGCGGUUGACUUGCGCUGUAUUACAUUAUAUUGAAGAGCAGAAGAGCACCAAACACACACACACACUCAAGUAUAGUUGAUGUGUAUGAAUAAAGACCACUGCUUGUGUGUGUUGUCUGUCGCUGCUUGUUGUGACCACAAGGACACAAAUAAUGGCUGAAGGAUGUGUGGUCGCAUGAGUUGUGAGCCGCAACGCUCUAAGGGAAGGGGGGUCAGCGAGCAGAAUUUUCUAACGGCAGUUUGUGGCAAAAUACCGUUGGUUGGAACUCGAUCAAGUUUUUUUUGUGCUAACCAAAUCGCAAUUGAUGCAUGCAGAAGGAUGCUUGAUAGUCUUUAGGCUUUUAAUGUAAAAGAGCAGGAGUGUGCCACGCGGCACAAAUGUUGGAAGAAAAGAAGUUAGACUAAAAAUACAAAAUAAUUAAAUACAAAAAAAUAUAACGCACAUUGCUUGCAUUUUGCCAACACGCUGUCAUAUCUGGGCUUCAUACAUUUCUUUGCUUUGGAGGCCAUAAAACUGGGAAUAUGCAUAAAAAAGGCAUGUUUUCGCAAAGCCAUAAAAGGCUCUUAUCAACUUCAAUAUUUUCUAAUGGCCGAACACGUGCCGCCCAGCGGGUCCUACAGCAGUGACAACAACAACAAUAAAGCCCUUUGGCUACAGUUACGCAUAAUGAACAUGCAGAGAGACACAACUCGGAUGCGCACGAAUAUUUGGCUGGCAUUUGGCAAAUAAAUGCCUCAAAUGUCCAGCUCAGCGGGUAUAUUCGUUGAAUAAGUGUACAAAAAAAACACCAACAUAAACAAAAAAAACAUAGAAAAUAUUUGCUUUCCUUUUGAUAAGCCUGAGCUAUCGAAAUCUGUUGUUGUUGUGGUUGCCAAAUAUUGCUUUUGUUAGUGUUUGUGCUGUGGCUUCGGCUGGCUGCGUACACACUGUGCCGCCGGCAGUAAAUGUUGACUUUUCGAAAUGGUUUGUAAAUGCUGUUGCUCGCAUUGUGAUUCGAUGAAUGCGACGAUGACUCUGCAACGUACACUCACACACAUGCACUUGUUUGCCUAUGAGUAAGCAAGCCAUCCAUAAUCAGAGUCUGAAAUAUGCAUCACUCAUGUAUGGGUGGGUGUGUGUGUAGGAAACUAUCUUUUCAGUUACUUUGCUGCACUUAGUCUGCGUAAAAGCGUCCGCAUGCAGACAGCAGAAAUAGAAAAUGCCCAAAAAUUGUUUAGAAAUUACUCAUUUGGAAAGAUUUGCUAGCAAUCAGAAGUCCUUCUGUAUGCGUGUGUGUUUAUGUUACCUUGUAUUUGUAUUGAAAAUUCAUAUUUGCUUCAGUAUGCCAUUUUAGCUUUUAAAUUAGGAGGAAGAAGAAACGCAAAAUUUUACAUUUCUUAUUAAUGCAUACAUUUUGAAUAAGCACAUAAGUUAACGGCUUGGAAUAUUUCAUUCCAAUUUUACUCGGAUAGCAAAUUAAUCAAUUAUAUUUUAAAAAAUAACAAAAUUCCUCAGACCGAAAACUGGUUAUAUACAAUACAAAAUUACUACAAGGGCUACAAUGUGAAUGGCAACAGAGGUUGAGUACUAGAAAACUGUUUUUUUUAGGGUUUUCAGAUCCAAAAUAAUUAUUUGAUUUUCUGUUGAACUACUAAAACAACGACUUCUAAACAAAAAUUAAAGGAAUUUUUUACCAUUUCAUAAAGAGAACAGAUUUGCUUCAAAAAGUGGUCGAAAAUUGGGUCUAAUAGCUGGAAUUUAUCUGGUUCCUCGGUGAUCAUUUAAUCAUGUUUAAAAUAUAAUGGCAACUCUUGUCCUCAUGCAAAAGCUAAAAUAUUGGUCAGAAUAUUAAAUAAAUAAUAAAAUAUUAGGUCUACAACUUUGCUUCCGCCGUUUUUUUUAAUUUAAGGAUUUUUUUUGUAUAAAAACGGUUACAAAUGACGAAGAGCCUCAGCCACACUUUUCUUGGAAUUAAAAAAAGAAAAAUUUCCCGCAAAUGUCGAGAAUUUGGCUCAAAAAGUGACUUUUUUAGUUGAGAAUAAGUUUGGGGUGCAAACAGAUCUCUACACAUUUUUGUUGGGUUAAUGUUGACACAAAUGUCCAAGAUCGAUAUAAAACGAUUUAUGCGAUUUAAUGACCCUAGAGACAUCAAUUGGAAAACGGCGGAGCAAAGUUGUAGAAAAAAAAGUCCAAAAAUCAUUUCUCUAAAAACAACAUCCUUCACAUUAAUUAAUUGUUAAAAUUAGUUUUCUAUUUGACAGCUUUAUAAUUAAAAACCGGUUUGAAAAAUUGUAUUUCAUUCCGUUAUAUGCAUCUUCAUUUUCUGUAGAAUUAAAGAUCUUCUGAAUUCGUGGAACCAUUGUUGUUGUUGGUUUUAUUAUAAUAUAAACUAAUCAAUUACAUAUUAUUUUCUACAGAAGAGCGUGGAAUUUCCUUUAAUUAGUUAUAAUUAACAGUUUCGUAAACAUAAAUAUAUAUACCUUGGUAGGUUUUCAAUUCAAAUACACAUAAACUUAUACUUCGACAAAGUGGGGUGUGGACUGAUAGUAGAAUAGACUCCAGUCGAUUAAGCCGAUUAUAUUUUAUUUAGUCGACUCUCGCAAUAUUUAUAAAAAAGCAUUUGAUAUUUUUAGAAAAUCACCGGUAUUGGUAUAUUGUGGAGAUUCCUAGAAAGCAAUUCCAUAUUUCUAAUGACUUUUUAUGAAAUUAGAAGACAGCCAAAAUAAAUAUAGUCACUUAAUAAAAAGCAAAGCAAACACAUUUGUGUAUAUGUAUACGUGUAUUUAUGUACAGCUACCCAAAAAGACAAAUAGAAAUUUAUUUUUGCGCAUCGCAACCUCAAGAAACAGACUAUUGCGUUAAAAAAAGAUAAAACCUAAAAGAAGAAGAAAUAUAAAAAGAAUAGUUUAUUUGAUCAUAAAAUAUAUAUAUACAUAUUUAUAAGUAUAUAUGUAUGUAGAAUCAUUGUUUAUGGUUUUGUUAGAUAUAAAACAAACAUCUUCUGUAAUUAUUUUUUUUUCUAGUAGUUCAAAGCAAUUGGAACUUAAUUACUAAUUAGCUAGUGAUUCAUUGAAAACAUAAAAAAAUGGUUCCAUCUAAAUGAGUAAAUAUAUGAUUGUUUAUAUUUUAACUACCAGCGGAAAUUAGUUCACUUAGAAAUGUUUUACAUAAUUUUUUUAAAAUGUUCUUAUAGUUAUAUUUUUGAUAUAAAAUAAACACAUUCAAUUAUUUAAUAGAAAGAUACAAACAAAAUCCAUAAAAGAAGUGUAUUUCCAUUUGAAGAGCCAAUUGUUCUCAAAUAUUCUACUAACGAAGCACACAAGCGCCCAAAUGAAUUCAUAAAUGAAUUUCGUUAAAAAUUGAGAAGCGUGUUGGCAUUUCAAGUUCAAUUAUAUGUCAAUGCUGGGCAUUGACUUCGUAGCAAUUUUCGACAAUUUCAAAUAAAGACAACAACAAUUUGCUUUUAAGUUUAGUGACGUUAUCGGCGUGAACAUUUGUGAGUGGUUAUUUCAUGUACAUUAAAGAAACUAAAAAGACAUAUAUGAAACUAUAGAAUUAAGUGAAUAAAGUUGUUUUUGUGAAUUUUUAAAUGCGGAAAUAAAAUGCUACAAUUUUUCUCUUUAACACAAAGAUGUUUUGAAUUAUCAAUGAAACUAAUAUUUUACCAGAUACAACUUGCGAAGUGACUGAGAUGUCGUGAAAUAUGACCUCCCAACAGGAAGUCCAAGGAGUUUUUUCUAAAUAGCAUUGACUUCUAAAAGUUGAUGUUAAAACACUAUCUAUGGCAAUGAAGUGCUCCAGUUGCCCAGAUAAAAUAGGUCAACCCUAAACACUGCACUUAACUCUACAAAUAUUCUCAGUGUGUCUUAAUUCUGUCAAAACAGCAAAUUCUCCGGUAUCUCCGGUCAAUUAGAUUGAGAAAAUAAAAGAAAUAAAUAAAUUAGAUUUCAACUAAACAGACCUUUCAUAAGAGGAUUUUUCGACGAAUCUCUCAUUAUUUUCGUGUCAUGGUAUCAAAAAUUCAUACAUAUAUUAAUUUAAUUUAAAAAUAACGGUAUAAAUUAUUAAAAUUUCUGAAUAAUACAUUACGAAAAAUAUCAAUAUUUUUACAAAUAAUCAGUAGCGCGCUGAUAAACUUUCCUCAGGGUCAAAAGCAUGUAUUUAUUCAUUGAAAUUAUUUUGAAAUGCUUAUCGCUGUUUGCGGAUGCCGUUGCUUAGAGCAAAUAUAUUUAAAAGUGUUCACGUUCAUUUUUACACAUACUCAGAAAAAAGAUUUAAUAUAUAUACUUAGGUACAUACAUAUAUACAUAUUAAUAGUAAAUAAUAAUCGAGAUGAACUAGAAAUAUGUCGUGUCAUAAUCCAAUUGAUUUGAAAUUAAACAACACUAACAAUUUAUUUUAAAAGAUGUUGUACGCUAUAUCUGUAAUAAUUUCUUAAAAUAGCCUAAGUCGAAAUGAGUUAAGAAAUAUUUCUUAAUUUCUAGUAAAUAUAAUUUUAAAUAAAUUUGAACUCUCUGCUAAAAAAUAUGAAUAUUUAAACUGAACUAAAACUUCAAAUCUUAAGUGAGUUGGUCAACAUAUCAUGAAUUUUCAGCACAAGCUUAACUUGACUUAAAAGCUACUCCAACAUACCGGCUCGGAUAUUUAUUACUUAGGAGAAUAAUAACAUUUGUUUACUUAUUUCGACUGCUAAAGCUCAUCUGUUGAGCAUACAGCAAUGGAUAUAUACUACCAGUUUCCACAACAAAUAAACACAUUUAAACAAUUUUUAUGAUCAAACAGCACAACUAAUACUUUUAACAAUCAUAAAAAGGCAAAUAAAAAAUAAAUAAAUAUAUUUUUUCUCACCCAUUAAAUGAAACGUAAAACGGAGCAUUCACUCAUUUACGACAUUUACAAGAUUGGCCACACGAUAAAGUUGGUCACAAACGGGACGCGCAUUUGUCGCCGCCAUUUCCACGCUCUCCUCCUCUGUCACAGAGCGCGGCUGUGAAUAAAUAGUUAAAAAGUGUCAUUUGCACCAGACAGCGACAACGACAUUGACAUUCCGUUAUUUUUCCACCAUCGACGGCGCGCCGCCACACUGCCGUGCCCCAUUAGUGGCGAGACCUCAUUAACCUUCCGAAGGCAACGGAUGCUGUGUAUGCGCGCGGACAGACAUUGGUACACAUCUACUUCCAUAGAUACUCUAUAGACAUUUUAUAUGUGGCAGCGGGGGUGUGUGGCGGGCGCGACAAUUUUUAGCGAUCGAUAUCAGCUGUGCUAGCGCAACGCUCGAAUCGACGUAUGUGUGGAAUUGACACCGACUGCCAAAUUAAAAUGACAAGUGGGGCGGGACGUUAGAUUUGUUUGGUUCCAAUGAAAUGAAACGCUGGUUAUAACAGCAUGAAGGUCUCUGGAGCCAGAGUCGGCAGCUGCGACUUUUAAUUCAUUAGUGGUGACAUGAAGGCGAGUUUUUGGAGCGGAAGAAUGUAGGUGUAUGUGAAAGGGUCUCGAAUUGGAACUAUGCAAUGUUAUCAGUUAUCGACAUCCAUUUGGGAAGAUAUUGGCUGUAAUAUUUUAAGAAUUUCAGAAGAUUUUUUUUAUUGAAAAAUAACGUUUUUAAAAUUUCAUUUAAAUAGGACCAGUUGUUUAGGAAGAGUUCAGUGACAUUCACACGUACAGAAGAAAUGCAAUUCAUAAAUUAUUCAAACAAUCCAACUCACUUUAUUAAAGAAAGUAAGUCAGAUAAUUCUUUCAAACAAAGAAUUCUUUACACUUAAGUUCAUUUUUCCAUUUUUUUUUUCAAAUUAAAUUGAACACAUUUCAAUGCAAAUACCAGAAAAAAAUCUUAAUUGAUGAGUUCGCUUUGAUCUGCGAUAAGCCGACUUAAGGAGCACCUGAAUAAAAAGAACUCUCCCACACACUCACAUAAAAAAUAGAAACACACAAAUGAAUGGCGUACAAAAAUGCGUUGCGCAUUAAAUUUUCAUUUUCCCUGUCGCCUCGCUUUGUAUUUGCAUUUGAAUUGAGAAAUCUAAACGACUCACCACCCGCACGCCUCAUUUCAUAUGACGCAGUGGCAUUCAAGUGACAACGCGGGCAUUUUCCGCCACUUACACUUAAUCACAUUAGUUGAGCAUCCAGCGAGUGUGUGAUGAUAUACUACAUAUAUAAGUAUGUGUGUGUUUGUAUGCUUGUAUUGGAACAUAUGUCUAACGGUAUAUAGUCGAUGCUGCUGAUUGCCACUUUGUCAUUUAUAUAUCAUAUUUGAGAAGCACGAAGAAAAAAUAUGAAAAAUACUUCAAAAAUGAACACACAAUAAUAGACAUGACAACAAUAACAACAACAAACACAACAAUAAUAGCAACUAUGCAACACGCUUAUCAGUCAACUCCAGCCUCCACUGUGGCCCUGCCAAGAGUGCUCAUAAACGUAGGCAGUGACAGGGGAGCCGGGCAGCGACAUUACAUAUAGCGCACACUUUGAAGAGUGGCAAAUAUCGUGAAUGGGAGACAAAUAGGAGAUGAUGGGGGAACGCGCUUGUCUUGUCUGACAUUCGUUGAUUUGAUGUGAUUUGCUACGCAUUGUCUUCCAUGUAAAUCUGUUUGUUUGCGUAUGUUUGUGUGUAAUCUUGAUAUUACUUAUGGCUUUAUUAUGGAGAUCAAUGCUGUCAUCAUUAGCGAAGCAAUAAAAUUAAUCUAAGUAAUUAUUACUUUUGACGGCAGCAAUUGGAGCGUUGCGAAGUAAAUCAUACUUCGAUGCUAUGAAAUCCCUUUGAGUUGAAGUUGAGGAGGAAAAGUUAAUCUGGAUGAACUCUAGCUGUAAAUAUGUUUGGUGUUCUUAUAGGAGAUGAUUAUAAUUUGUGAGUGAUUUUAUUAAGAACAGAUGUACUUAAAUGUUUUUGGAGUUAAUUGUUGCCAGUGAUAUUUUGUAUGAGAUUUGAUUCUAUAAACUCUUUAAAUAAAAUGUGAGAGUCUUUAGUCUUUAGUACUAAAUAUAUUUUUAGUUUAGGCGAGAUCUUUUAAGUACAGUACUGGGUUGCGUAACACAUACUCAAGUUCUUUAGUGAAGAACUACAUCUUUAAGCAAUAAGCACUUCGUAAAAGAUAUUUAGAAGUAUAACUGUUUACCAUCCUUUGAAGUACCUCAUAAUCAAUAUAUGUUAAUAUUCAAUAAUAAUAAUAAUACUUGCAGUUAUCAUAAAAUUAAGAAUUUUCCUCGUAGAAUAAACUGUAGACUUCAAAAAUCUAAAAGACUCACAUUUGCUUUGUCAUCAGACACCUUAGAGGAAAUUAAAACUUACCGCAGAUUUAGAAGAAAAUAAUUAAUUUCCAACUAAAUACGCAAACUUGAAACCGCAUUGACGCUUAAUAAACACAAAAAUCAUUACGAACAGCUGGGAAUCACAAGUCACACGAAGCGGCUGUUCGAACUUGAACAGAUACUGGUUUCAUUGGAUAUACAUACAAACAUAUAUCUAUGUAUAUCGUAUAUAUUGUUGAGAUCGUCAAUUUAACGUUUUUAACAUUAAUGCGCAACAAAAAGAAUAUUCUCAUAUAUCUUUCUGUAUACAAUAUAUUUGUGUUUAUAUAAAGGCGUGCAUAUGUACAUAUGUUUAUGUGUUUAUAUUCGCGAAUUUCAAGGUCUUCCGGCAAAAUCGGAAAGGGGAAUUGCAUUUUUACAUUGAAUUAGGCGCACUUUUGUAUUCAAUGCGGCAUGUUUAUAAUAGAUAAAUAAAUAUGACUACCUGUAUAUUGGCUGUAUGAAUCAAAUUGUUAUAAAUUCCGCAUACAAAAAAAAAACUACAGUUAAACGCAAACAACUCUUCGCUCUUAUUUCUGAAAAUAAAGUGAUCGCUUUCUCAGCGCUGAGAAGACAAAGAGCAGAGCAUUACACAUGUGGCUCUUCGUACUCUUAUAUUUCUCUAACACUGAGUUCACUGCUUCCACCUGCUCUGAGUCAAUUUGAUUCAAGUCUGAGAGAGCGCGUCUGCAUUGAUGACGAACGGAAAUGAUUCCAGAUGUAUCUGUUUUAUACUUAGUGAGAUUUAAAAUUUGGCUAGACUAAAAGUUAACCCUAACAUGCCACCUAACGAUUUUUGGUUAUGCACGAGGUGUGUUAAAAAUAUAACGUACAUUUUCGUUUUUUGAAAAUACAAAUUUCAAAAUAGUCCCCAUUUGAUAUUAUGCACAUGUUCCUGGGCUUCUUCCAAUCAUCGAAAUACUUCGUAAACGCGAUUUUUGGGAUAGCCUUUAGCUCUUCCAGCGAUUUCUCGUAUGCUUAUAAAACGACGACGACUUAAGGCUCUUUCUCUUUAUUUUUGGAAAUAGGAAAAAGUCACCCGGACAGCUGAUAAAUUUCUUCAGGGGCAUGUACAUAUAUAAAAACUAAAAAAAUUGAUAUUUGGUCUCUCCAAACCUGUGAACUUUUAAAUUCAAAUUCCCGUUAUUUUCUGAACACACCACGUAAGUGAAUUAUUUUUGUAUAGAAAGUGUAAAUAAGUUAAUUUUUACACUUUCAUUGACCCGAAUUUUAUUAUUAAAUUUGUUAAACAAAAAUAUCUAGUUGUUUACCCAAAAAAGGCAACAGCACUCAGGUACAAUGUGGGCAAAAUUAAACAAAGCAUUCCUUAGAUAACUUCCGUUAUGCGAAUAGCGCUUAACGGCGGUGUGUCAACAGCAGCCAUCGCCACUGACAGGUGCGCAGUUGCUGCUGACUCAUAUUGAAAAAUUAAAUGAAUUGCCAAAGCGCCACAAAAUAUUAUUCAUUUGCACCCUUUUAACCCAACACACUUUUCACUUCACACCUCCGCUCUAAUAAAUUGCACAUUUGUGUUGGUGUAAUUUGAGCUUUCGCUUUCACAGAGCUUUUUCUAGCCAAUAAAUACGUCGAUUUUUACGCAAAUUUGUUGUGUGAAUAAAUGAAUAAUCACUCAUUCAAAUGAAAAAAUUAAAAUCGACACAGGGAUGCAUUGCACUGGCUAAUAAAUUCUUUUUCGGCGCUUGAAAAAUGAAUUAUUUGCAUUUCAAAAAGUUAUGCUUUCAAAGUUGUGAAAUUAAAACCCCCCCCUUUGUAUGAGCAGCAACAGCAACAAAUGAAUAUUCACAGUCAAAUUGAAGUGAUUUUCAAUAGCAAACAGCAAGCGAUUGCCCGUUUCGCUGCUGUGCUGUUAUUGUUAUUGUGGCUUUGAAUAUUUGCUAGUCUCACCUUCCUGUUCUAAUAACCCAGAUCGUUAUGGCAAAAGAACAACGGACAAAAACACACACCUCGACAACAAACACUUCGCAUGUUGCAACAACAACAGCAACUUGAUUGCAACAAUUUGCAUGUACCCCCGUCUCCUUCGAAAGCUUAACCUCACUUUCAUAUCCACUGGACUUGCAGAACCACUCUCCUGCUGCACUCACUCACUCUAUCUUCCAACAAACCAUUUUCUAUGGCAUAGAUAUUGUUGUUCUUGUUAUUGCUUCAUUGAUGACCGCUUGGUGUGCUGAUGGCGCUCGGCGUGUUAUGUGUUGCCAACAAUUUCUGUUUCCUGACAGUUGUCCACUGUAUUGGUGGUGGAAUUGUUGUGGCAUAUAACCGCAGUGCAAGGCGAAACAUUGCAACGGAAAGUGUUGCAACUACAGCAGCACUAACAACAAGCGCAUAGUUGUUAUCUUCAUCAUAGUAGUUUCAACUUUUGUUUGUUACAUUGGCACCUCUAAUGUUUUGACUUAUGGGUUAUUACGGUAUUUGUGUUGUUAUUGUUAUUAUUGUUCUAGUUGUUUCGCUUGUUAUUGUUGCGAUUACAGCGCAAAGUCAAAUUGCAUGGCAAGUUGCUCGCAUGCAAAAUAAUUAAAACUUUUUUUUGAGGUUUACAGUUGACUGAACGUUGUCAAUGGCAACCGGGCACUGUGGGAUUGUAUGAGUUGGAAAUGGGAUAAUUAAAUAAUUAUAAAUACAUAUGGAUAUAUGUAUGUAAAUGUAGUUGAAAGAGAUGUCAGUUUAGGUUGUAUUAAUUGAAUGAAAUGUGAUUGAAAGCUCAGCUCCAUUAGAAUUAGUUUAUAAUAAUGGGAUCGAAGAACAUAUAAGCCAUCAUAUAAAUGAGUUCAGAAAUAGCGACUUCAACUUCUCUCUGUUUGACUAACACUCUCAUAGCAUAUGUAUAUAUUAGGGUGUUCCAUAAAUAUUUUAUGAUUUUACCUCCUCAGAUUUCCCGAAACUUAACCACUAUAACAGCUGAUAUGGGAAAUAUAACAUAUGAAUUAUUUGUCGUAAGGGUGUAUUUAGACCCUGAGAGAAAAUGAAUUGCCAUUGAAAUAAAUUCAAACUCAACUAGAACCGGAUCAACGUUACCGGAAUUUAUGCAGAUUUUGUCCGAACAAGGUCUUUCAUUUUAGGGAUCUAUCCAGGCUUGAAUCGGUAGAUAAAAAAAUAUUAGGUGUCAGAGCAUAUGUCUCCUCGGUAGCCUCUUAAAUCGAUAACUGUUAUUAUCGAGGUAUCGUAUAUUGAUUUUGGUCCGGAAAAUAGACGUCAUUAGUAUCCCACUAGAUGUCAUAUGUAUCUUAACAUGCUAUCUGACUUAGGAAUAUUUUUCUCUAUGACACCUUUUAAAUAUCUUAAAUCGCCGUGAAAUUUAUUAGUAAAAUCAUUGACCUUUCUGGGAUAAGACUCUGUAGUUAUUCAAAUUUAAAUGUUCAUUCUUUUACAUAUCUAUUCAUGUAUAUUUAUGAGAAACAUAUAUGUACAUAUAUUCAGUAAAUAAAUGUCUUUAAAAUAAGAAUCUUAUUGCUGCAACAUUAUAUCUCAAAAUCCCAUUUAGCAAUUUUUAAUACGUCACAUCCUCACAACCUCAAUUAACAGAUUAUUGAUGCAGGAGCUUUUUGGAGCAUUCCUCUAUCCUCUGCUAUACUUUGACGACAAUGUGGCCACCACUCCCCGCAACCACUUUGACAUUUUACAGUUCGUCGUGUUACUGACCACUUGUGCGCCCUUGGCAAAGGUGACAUCACUUUCGAAAGCGAGACUCGAGUCGGGGAGCGAGGAAGGCGGCAGAGCAGUGAGACUGGAAAUUGCGCGACGAUAAAAACUAUAAAUUCAUUUCUGCCGCCAUGGCUAUUCAUUACUAUAUUUUCCUACUGUUAUGUUUUGCUUUUUCUUUCUCUCUUCUUGUUUUGUAAUUUUCAUUUUUCGUCUGGUUCUCUGUUCUGCUUCCAAAGAGCCCAUUAGAAUGAGGAUCAAGCGAAUGGCAGAGAAUACAGUUAGACAGAAAUAUGGCAAAAGUGGCGACAAAAACAAAUUUGCUUUUGUUAUUUGAGCAGUGCUAUUCAAAACAAUGAGAGCAACGAGCGCUCAAGUGGUGAAGCGCCACCAAUUGACCAUUGUUUUAGUCAUUGCGAGUUAUUAUUGUAUUUGUAUUUGUUAAGCUCCUCUGGUCAACGCCUCGCCUCGCCAAUGACGCGACACGCUAACAACACGAUUGCAUUGCAGGCGAGAAGCGUGUGAGCUGAGUGAGAGGAAUCGAAAGUGGAGUAGUACAGUGCAAAAGCUAACACUGAGGGCAAUCACGGCAACGUGAAAUGAGCGCAGCACCAAAGGGACUGGGGAAAACGACCAACAAUGCCAACAAACACUGUACUAUUUAUAAAUUGGGUGAGAAACUCUGUAGUGAAUGCCUGGCACGAGGCUAGAGGUGGUUGAGGGUGUGGUUGUUCUGCGGUGAAAGUGGCGUGGAAAUAUUAAUGCCAUAAACUUUGUGGCAGAAUAUGAGGUUAGCUGGCGAUUGGGUCUGUCCGAUAGGUGGAAAAUUUAUGUUAAUUUGUGUGAUAAAAAAAAAUAGUAAGUGAGUUUGUAUUAUAUAAAAAAUAGUAAUAAAUAACAAACACAUAGGUUUUCUAGCGCAUACUAUAUGAAAAUUAACUUAAUUACUUAGCUUGUAACAGCUGAAAUAUAUCCUUAUUUUCCGAAAUACAUAAAUGUUCAAAUAUCAAAAACGUUUUUGAAGUGGAGUGAGAAAGCUGAGAGUCACUUUUAAACUUUCACACUGGUUGAACAUUUGUCAUUAAAAAAGGCAUAAAAAAUGUUAUAAUUUGGAUAUAAAAUGUUAAUAUUUAACACUCUUUCAAUGAGUCAGGCACACAUCAUAUUCCUGUAACUCCAACACGAGCAUAGGACAUGUGAAAGUCUCAUACACCAGGACUUUGAUUCGCUUGGUAUUAGGAAAAUGUAUUUAAAAUAGUAAAAGCAGUUAUUUACUCAUCGAAUUUCCAUCAACAUUACAUGUCCAAGGAAAACCGAGGGAGAACUUUAUGAAGCAUUUAUGAAUCCACGUAAAAAAUGCAUAUAUAUAGUAUCUUCUUCUUCUAAAAUAUUUGCAGUUUAGUUCUCAUAUAUAGCUACUACUCAUAAAUUCAUAAAUCAUAAAAAAAUGUGUCUUUUUCAUACCGUGCCGUAUGUGUGGUAUACGUAACUUUUAAUCGUUUUUCCAAGUAGUAUAUUUAUAUUACGAAUUACUCUAUAAAAUUAAAAAUUUCAAUUGUAGUAAUCUUCAGAGUGUCUUAUUCAUAUUUUGUACAAUUUUUAACAACACGUUUUACUUCUCUUGCAGCUUAAUCCAUCAGCCGAUUUACUGAAAAUUGUUUACGAAGCUCUGCAUUGAG